GGUGAAAACAACCCCUAAAUGAAAAGUGACAAGAUAUCUUUUAAAAAUUAUUAAUAUUUUAUAAAAAUUGGUAUCUGGGGGUUUUCGGGGCCACUGAUUAUUAAUCUGAUGUCAGAUUUUCAAAAUUCAAAAUGGCGGAUCCAAUAUGGCGAUCAAAUUUUUAAAAAGUUAUUAAUUUUUUAUUUUAUAUCCGCCAUUUUGAAUUUUGAAAAUUUAACAUCAGAUUCGUCAUCAGCGAGCCAAAAAACCCCUAGAUAUCAAGGUUUAAAAAUAAUUUAAGGGGGGCGCCUACUUUAUCGGGUCAAAAAAAUCGAUUUUUUAAAAGUUGUCUUAACUGAAAGUACAACUAUCAGAGAAUAUGCUCUUAAAAUAUUACGUCAAAGUUGCACUUAUCUACUAUUACACCUACCAUUAAAAUUACCAUUUAUCAGUAAAAUGUCGUCUUAUCCAAGAGCUACCCAUAAAAAAAGUCGUUCAUCGAGGCCUGUGACUGCCGUAUGUUUUUAAUAAAUAGUUUUUCAAUCUUUAAACUCGUUUUUCUCAAAACACUGUUUUUGUAGUUUGCGUACACGAUAGACAAAAAUCUAUUCAACCGAUUAAGAUAAGAAUUGUGGACCCUAGGUUGUACGCAAUGGGAAAAUUUCAGCAGCGAGGCGUUAUAUAUAUGGCGUUUAUUUUAUUAUUAAAUUCUAUUUUCAUUUAAUCAAAAAAUUAUAUUUCAAAGAUUUAAAUAUAUAAGAAAACAUACACUAAAUCUCGCAUCGAUUUAUUUAAAUGUGUUUGGGAAAAAAAUUCCUGAAAUGUACGCAGUUUUUUACCUUCUAAAGUAGGCGCCCUUCAUAAUAACUUUUUAAAAUUUUGACCGCCAUAUUGAAUCCGCCAUUUUGAAUUUUGAAAAUCUGACAUCAGAUUAAUAAUCAGCGACCCCGAAAACCCCCAGAUACCAAGUUUUAUAAAAUAUUAAUAAUUUUUAAAAGAUAUCUUGUCAUUUUUUAUUUAGGGGCUGUUUUCACCCCUAAAAAUCACAAACGACUUGAUCUAGCAAAACGGACAGAUACGGGUAAUUUUUUUGGGUCCUAGUUUCCAAAAAUGUUGGAUUUUUUGUGGGUCAAAAAAAUAGUUCAAUUUUGUCAGACGGUAUUAUAUUACAUUAUAAAAAAAAAUUAAUUAGUAAUGCAAUAGAAAUAAAAAAGAUUUAUAAAUUUUCAAAAAAAAUUAUAAUUUUGUCCUUAUUAAGGCUGAUUUUAUUGAUUUUGGCGCAUGUUGGUUCUAAUUAUUGAUGAAAAUUAGCAUUUUUUAAUUUUAAAAAGUACUAUUGUACAAAAUAAAAAAAGGAAAAAAGAUUACAUAAGUAUGUAAGGAGUAAAGAAAAAGUAAAAAAAAAACGAUAAAAGAGAUGAAGUAAUAGGAGAGGUAAAGAAAAGUAAAAAGAUCUAAAGUUAAAGAGUAUCUAAGAAAGUGCAAGAUGAAAGAAGAGGGAGGUAAAAUUCUAAAAAAGGGUAAAGCGAAAAAAGGCGUCAAGAAAGAAUAUGGAUUAAAGUUUAAAAAGAUAGGAUGGGCACUAGGAGGUGGAGGUAUAAAGAUAAAGUUCUAGAGAUUAUUUCUAAGUAAUCAAAUCCACAUAUAUAUUUUUAAUACUCACAAAUUGUUUGCAGUAAAAUUUUUAGAUUUUAUUAUAUAUACUUAAAAAAAUUUUUUAAUCAAAUUAUAUUUUUACUGUUUUAAAGAAAUGGAAAAAGUGGUAUAGCUCCAUUUCAAGUCAUAAGUCUAUGGUAUGAGCAUUGUUAGUUGUUUUCAUAUAUCUUAUUCUUAUAGAAAGUUGGAAAAAGUAUAAAAUUCACGAAUAAAAAGAAUCUUUUUUUUCUCCAACUAUCAUGAAUUGAAAAAAUAUAAGUCUUUAAUUUUAAGGUAGAUUCACUCGACUGUGGGUUCUCGCUCAUCGAGGUGGCACGGUCUAAUUGCAAUUAACUUGAGCGGUGAGUUUAAGAAAUAAAGAAAGCAAAACGUUUUCGUUUACCGGGGCGCCAUGGAAUACUUGCGAGCUUUUCGGUCUCGCUUAAUCUCCUCAGAGUUCCGGAUGAAAACCGAAAUAAAGUAAAAAGUUAAGGAAGGCAAAAAGAGAAAAAGAAAACAAGUAACCCUUGCACGGAUGGAUUUAAAAACUCGACGCUGAAGGUCCAAUGAAGAAUGAGCAAUCGAAGAAUUGUUCGAGCAACAGAAAAGUGAUGUUGAAAGGUAGUCCAUUCUGCAUAUCUGAUGAGAAAAUGCACGUAAUUUUUUUCCA
This is a long non-coding RNA of Leptopilina boulardi, 2284 nucleotides long. RefSeq lists it as uncharacterized. The transcript has 3 exons. NCBI's taxonomy places the organism in Eukaryota, Metazoa, Arthropoda, Insecta, Hymenoptera, Figitidae. The record is from RefSeq and is a predicted model, not a curated record.